ACGCACGCUGGCGGCGUGCUUCACCCCUGCAAGUCGAACGGAAAGGCCCUGCUUUUGUGGGGUGCUCGAGUGACGAACGGGUGAGUAACACGUGAGUAACCUGCCCUUGACUUUGGGAUAACUUCAGGAAACUGGGGCUAAUACCGGAUAGGAGCUCCUGCUGCAUGGUGGGGGUUGGAAAGUUUCGGCGGUUGGGGAUGGACUCGCGGCUUAUCAGCUUGUUGGUGGGGUAGUGGCUUACCAAGGCUUUGACGGGUAGCCGGCCUGAGAGGGUGACCGGCCACAUUGGGACUGAGAUACGGCCCAGACUCCUACGGGAGGCAGCAGUGGGGAAUAUUGCACAAUGGGCGGAAGCCUGAUGCAGCAACGCCGCGUGCGGGAUGACGGCCUUCGGGUUGUAAACCGCUUUCGCCUGUGACGAAGCGUGAGUGACGGUAAUGGGUAAAGAAGCACCGGCUAACUACGUG
Molecule: ribosomal RNA, 467 nt
Filed under: uncultured bacterium
Lineage: Bacteria
Description: partial 16S ribosomal RNA
Rfam family: Bacterial small subunit ribosomal RNA
Source: RNAcentral